AUGGGAUCUCUUAGCUCAGACAAAUCAAGUUUGAACCCAAACGCUAAGGAAUUCAAUUUGAACCCUAAUGCUAAGAGUUUCACUCCCUUGACUUCUCUGAGGCCACAUCACCCUCCAGCGCUUGAUGCAACAUACUAUUAUCCUAAUAACAUGGGGGCUACUGGACAUGGUUUGCCUGUUGGCAUGGGGUUUCCACAGGCGUAUGGUGGACAGCCUGUUGUUUACAAUGCUCAGCCUGGAUCUUCUCCCCAGGGUUACAUGCAUCCUUCUGGGCAACAGUAUGGGCAGCAAAUGAUGAUGGGACAGACCCGCCCUGUCUAUUAUUAUGCACCUGAGAUGCAGCAGCAGCAAUACAGAGGAAGGAACUUCUAG
This 372-nucleotide ribosomal RNA is filed under the name Triticum aestivum (bread wheat). Its description in RNAcentral is "partial small subunit ribosomal RNA". Lineage: Eukaryota; Viridiplantae; Streptophyta; Magnoliopsida; Poales; Poaceae. The record is from RNAcentral.